Molecule: long non-coding RNA, 434 nt
Organism: Lolium rigidum
Lineage: Eukaryota; Viridiplantae; Streptophyta; Magnoliopsida; Poales; Poaceae
Exons: 4
Source: RefSeq, a predicted model, not a curated record
GUCGGUGUGGAAGGCUAGCUCUGAUGUGGAUGCUCUCAAAGCGGUUGCUCUUAAAGUAUGUGACAGGUGGAUUGAAAGCUGUGAACAGUUCUGGAUGGACACAAGAUACUAUGAGCAUACCUACUAUAACAUUGUUAGGCGACCCCUGCAACAGGUCUUCCUGAAAUAAGAGAUUCAGACUAGAAGCUACAUUGUUCAUGUUGGCUGAACUUUACUGCAAUAGGCUCAUCAGGAUGCUUAGACUAACGUGUAAAUCUCACAACAUCAAAGAUUAUAGUUUUUUCAUAAAAUUAACACAAUACCAUCCUGAACUGGGAACACUUUAGCGUAUAUAACCUUGUUAUCCUUGGAGAAAACUAGGGGUGCCAAAACGAAAUCUCCCAUUUGGCCACCUCACCCCCAUUGUCUGAACUCUGAAGGUUCGCUUUGUUGGA